GACGAACGCUGGCGGCGUGCUUAACACAUGCAAGUCGAACGAUGAUCCCCAGCUUGCUGGGGUGAUUAGUGGCGAACGGGUGAGUAACACGUGAGUAACCUGCCCUUGACUCUGGGAUAAGCGUUGGAAACGACGUCCAAUACCGGAUACGACCAGCCUCGGCAUCGGGUGUUGGUGGAAAGAAUUUUGGUCAAGGAUGG
This 200-nucleotide ribosomal RNA is filed under the name uncultured bacterium. RNAcentral's name for it is "partial 16S ribosomal RNA". It matches the Rfam family "Bacterial small subunit ribosomal RNA", at positions 28 to 228 of the family's 1533-position model. The record is from RNAcentral.